RNAcentral lists this ribosomal RNA (439 nucleotides) under uncultured bacterium. Its description in RNAcentral is "partial 16S ribosomal RNA". It matches the Rfam family "Bacterial small subunit ribosomal RNA", at positions 338 to 795 of the family's 1533-position model. The record is from RNAcentral.
CCUACGGGUGGCAGCAGUGGGGAAUAUUGCACAAUGGGGGAAACCCUGAUGCAGCGACGCCGCGUGAGUGAAGAAGUAUCUCGGUACGUAAAGCUCUAUCAGCAGGGAAGAUAAUGACGGUACCUGACCAAGAAGCCCCGGCUAACUCCGUGCCAGCAGCCGCGGUAAUACGGAGGAUCCGAGCGUUAUCCGGAUUUAUUGGGUUUAAAGGGUGCGCAGGCGGAGGCACAAGUCAGCGGUAAAAUCGCGGGGCUCAACCCCGCUCCGCCGUUGAAACUGUGUCCCUUGAGUGCGCGAAGGGUAGGCGGAAUGCGUGGUGUAGCGGUGAAAUGCAUAGAUAUCACGCAGAACUCCGAUCGCGAAGGCAGCCUACCGGCGCGCAACUGACGCUCAUGCACGAAAGCGUGGGUAUCGAACAGGAUUAGAUACCCCAGUAGUC